This 488-nucleotide ribosomal RNA is filed under the name uncultured bacterium. RNAcentral describes it as "partial 16S ribosomal RNA". It matches the Rfam family "Bacterial small subunit ribosomal RNA", at positions 28 to 507 of the family's 1533-position model. The record is from RNAcentral.
GAUGAACGCUGGCGGCAGGCCUAAUACAUGCAAGUCGGACGGGAUCCAUUGAUAGCUUGCUAUCAAUGGUGAGAGUGGCGCACGGGUGCGUAACGCGUGAGCAACCUGCCUCCAUCAGGGGGAUAGCCUCUCGAAAGAGAGAUUAACACCGCAUAAUAUCAACAGUUCGCAUGUUCAGUUGAUUAAAUAUUUAUAGGAUGGAGAUGGGCUCGCGUGACAUUAGCUAGUUGGUAGGGUAACGGCUUACCAAGGCGACGAUGUCUAGGGGCUCUGAGAGGAGAAUCCCCCACACUGGUACUGAGACACGGACCAGACUCCUACGGGAGGCAGCAGUAAGGAAUAUUGGUCAAUGGGCGGAAGCCUGAACCAGCCAUGCCGCGUGCAGGAUGACUGCCCUAUGGGUUGUAAACUGCUUUUGUCCAGGAAUAAACCUAAAUACGAGUAUUUAGCUGAAUGUACUGGAAGAAUAAGGAUCGGCUAACUCCGUG